This 126-nucleotide ribosomal RNA is filed under the name Forsterygion lapillum (common triplefin). RNAcentral describes it as "partial 28S ribosomal RNA". Lineage: Eukaryota; Metazoa; Chordata; Actinopteri; Blenniiformes; Tripterygiidae. The record is from RNAcentral.
GUGGGAUCCCGGGGCCCCCGCNGCCCCGGGCGCACCACCGNCCCGUCUCGCCCGCCCCGUCGGGGAGGUGGAGCUUGAGCGCGCGCGAUAGGACCCGAAAGAUGGUGAACUAUGCCUGGGCAGGGC